This 465-nucleotide ribosomal RNA is filed under the name Vreelandella stevensii. RNAcentral's name for it is "partial 16S ribosomal RNA". It matches the Rfam family "Bacterial small subunit ribosomal RNA", at positions 338 to 795 of the family's 1533-position model. Lineage: Bacteria; Pseudomonadati; Pseudomonadota; Gammaproteobacteria; Oceanospirillales; Halomonadaceae. The record is from RNAcentral.
CCUACGGGUGGCAGCAGUGGGGAAUAUUGGACAAUGGGGGCAACCCUGAUCCAGCCAUGCCGCGUGUGUGAAGAAGGCCCUCGGGUUGUAAAGCACUUUCAGUGAGGAAGAACUCCUGGUGGUUAAUACCCAUCAGGAAAGACAUCACUCACAGAAGAAGCACCGGCUAACUCCGUGCCAGCAGCCGCGGUAAUACGGAGGGUGCGAGCGUUAAUCGGAAUUACUGGGCGUAAAGCGCGCGUAGGUGGCUUGAUAAGCCGGUUGUGAAAGCUCCGGGCUCAACCUGGGAACGGCAUCCGGAACUGUCAAGCUAGAGUGCAGGAGAGGAAGGUAGAAUUCCCGGUGUAGCGGUGAAAUGCGUAGAGAUCGGGAGGAAUACCAGUGGCGAAGGCGGCCUUCUGGACUGACACUGACACUGAGGUGCGAAAGCGUGGGUAGCAAACAGGAUUAGAUACCCUUGUAGUC